AGAGUUUGACCCUGGCUCAGAACGAACGCUGGCGGCAGGCCUCAAACAUGCAAGUCUAGGGGAUGUAGCAAUACAUCACCGGCGGACGGGUGCGUAACACGUGGGAAUAUACCUUUUGGUUCGGAACAACUGCGGGAAACUGCAGCUAAUACCGAAUGUGUCCUUGCGGAGAAAGAUUUAUCGCCAAAGGAUUAGCCCGCGUUCGAUUAGCUAGUUGGUGAGGUAAUGGCUCACCAAGGCUCCGAUCGAUAGCUGUUCUGAGAGGAAGAUCAGCCACACUGGGACUGAGACACGGCCCAGACUCCUACGGGAGGCAGCAGUUGGGAAUCUUGGACAAUGGGGGAAACCCUGAUCCAGCCAUGCCGCGUGAGUGAUGAAGGCCUUCGGGUUGUAGAGCUCUUUUACCCGGGAAGAUAAUGACUGUACCGGGAGAAUAAGCUCCGGCUAACUUCGUGCCAGCAGCCGCGGUAAUACGAAGGGGGCUAGCGUUGUUCGGAAUUACUGGGCGUAAAGCGCGCGCAGGUGGUUUUCCAAGUCAGUGGUGAAAGCCCGGGGCUCAACUCCGGAACUGCCAUUGAAACUGUGAAACUCGAGGACGAGAGAGGUGAGUGGAAUUCCCAGUGUAGAGGUGAAAUUCGUAGAUAUUGGGAAGAACACCGGUGGCGAAGGCGGCUCACUGGCUCGUUUCUGACACUCAAGCGCGACAGCGUGGGGAUCAAACAGGAUUAGAUACCCUGGUAGUCC
RNAcentral lists this ribosomal RNA (744 nucleotides) under uncultured bacterium. RNAcentral's name for it is "bacterial SSU rRNA". It matches the Rfam family "Bacterial small subunit ribosomal RNA", at positions 8 to 796 of the family's 1533-position model. The record is from RNAcentral.